GACGAACGCUGGCGGCGUGCUUAACACAUGCAAGUCGAGCGGUAAGGCCCUUUCGGGGGUACACGAGCGGCGAACGGGUGAGUAACACGUGGGUGACCUGCCCUCAGCUCUGGGAUAAGCCCGGGAAACUGGGUCUAAUACCGGAUAUGACUCCAUGACGCAUGUUGUGGGGUGGAAAGCCUUGUGCGGCUGAGGAUGGGCCCGCGGCCUAUCAGCUUGUUGGUGGGGUGAUGGCCUACCAAGGCGACGACGGGUAGCCGGCCUGAGAGGGCGACCGGCCACACUGGGACUGAGACACGGCCCAGACUCCUACGGGAGGCAGCAGUGGGGAAUCUUGCGCAAUGGGCGAAAGCCUGACGCAGCGACGCCGCGUGAGGGAUGACGGCCUCGGUGUAAC
This 397-nucleotide ribosomal RNA is filed under the name uncultured bacterium. RNAcentral's name for it is "bacterial SSU rRNA". It matches the Rfam family "Bacterial small subunit ribosomal RNA", at positions 28 to 429 of the family's 1533-position model. The record is from RNAcentral.